RNAcentral lists this ribosomal RNA (526 nucleotides) under Salmonella enterica subsp. enterica serovar Enteritidis. RNAcentral describes it as "partial 23S ribosomal RNA". The stretch from base 1 to 387 matches the Rfam family "Bacterial large subunit ribosomal RNA", at positions 140 to 565 of the family's 2925-position model. Lineage: Bacteria; Pseudomonadati; Pseudomonadota; Gammaproteobacteria; Enterobacterales; Enterobacteriaceae. The record is from RNAcentral.
UCGUCACACUAUCAUUAACUGAAUCCAUAGGUUAAUGAGGCGAACCGGGGGAACUGAAACAUCUAAGUACCCCGAGGAAAAGAAAUCAACCGAGAUUCCCCCAGUAGCGGCGAGCGAACGGGGAGGAGCCCAGAGCCUGAAUCAGCAUGUGUGUUAGUGGAAGCGUCUGGAAAGGCGCGCGAUACAGGGUGACAGCCCCGUACACAAAAGCGCAUGUGCUGUGAGCUCGAUGAGUAGGGCGGGACACGUGGUAUCCUGUCUGAAUAUGGGGGGACCAUCCUCCAAGGCUAAAUACUCCUGACUGACCGAUAGUGAACCAGUACCGUGAGGGAAAGGCGAAAAGAACCCCGGCGAGGGGAGUGAAAAAGAACCUGAAACCGUGUACGUACAAGCAGUGGGAGCCCCACCACCAAAGCAUUUGCUGUACCGCGUUGACGGAGCGAAGCGACGUCAAACCGAUAAAACAGCAGUGUAAAGUGAGCCGCAGGGCGCUUUGCGCGACAGCGCAAAGGCAGGCGGUUUCGCG